GUUCCUCCCCAACCCCUGGAUUUAUCUGAAAUGACACCUCUGCUUACGGUCCCAGGAGAUGGUGACUGCCAUGAUGAUAUUGUGUGCAAACAUAGAGCUGGCAGAGAGAAGGGCUGAAUCUGCGGAAGACAUGACGGCAGCAGCGAUAGCUCCCAAGCCGCCAAUGGAAAUGUAGGUUGGACAGAGAUAAUGCAGCACUAAUGGCAGUAUCAUAGCUGACUCUCCUCUCUCCACUGGUGUUGGAAGACCAUAGCUCGUCUGGUUCCAAUCUUGAACACAGAACAAUAAAAGAAGGUGUUGGAACAUGUGAAAAGAUGCCUGCUUGUCUGGCAGGGAGGUAGAACAGCCAGGUGAAAAGCUGAACCAGCAUGUCAAUCAGAUGAACAACUGGUCAGUGAUUCAAUGAGGGGAACAUCUUCGUCAACAACCUCAUCAGACAAUGUACAAAGCCUGGCUUAUGGUGAGAAAUGACUAGCCCAAUCUACUCUUACAGCAAUGGUUCAACAGGCAGUAAUGAUACAGCUAGAAGACAGACCUUGGGAAGGAAGCCACAUAUUUAUCCAUUGACAGUAUGUUGCCUGCUGUGUGAUCUCACUGAAACCUUCAGUUGUUUGCACAGCCAAUGGUUGUUUGCAAAAGCCAGGGAAUGGAUCCCGAACUGCUGAGGAAUAUGCUGAUGGGUCUCACCAGCACGUCAUGAAUUGCAGUCGAGUUACUCCUUAAGCUACAAACUGACAGUGAGGAGUCCGACGAUGAUGUUGACUCGCGUAACGCAUACGACAUGAGAUUGCUUGUGGCAUUCACAGGCAUGUUCACCACCUUGGAACGCUGGUUUUGGGCUCGUGAAACAAGCACUGAGUGGUGGGAUCACAUCGUCCUGCAAGUCUGGGAUGACGAGCAGUGGCUGCAGAAC
Non-coding RNA from Chelonoidis abingdonii (Abingdon island giant tortoise), 913 nucleotides. The record is from RefSeq and is a predicted model, not a curated record. Lineage: Eukaryota; Metazoa; Chordata; Testudines; Testudinidae.